CAUCGUCAGUCACUUUCCUAACUUCGUAGCCAGUAAGCAGCAGAGCUGAAAUGCUUUAAAAUCAGAAAAUGCCCUUUGGUGUAAUACAGCUUCUCAGUCCCACCAUGCUGGGGCCUAAAACCUGUGACCCUAAUGAACACACAGACGUACGCAGCCAGCUUCCUCUGUGAUACACACCAAUCUCUUGCCUGCAGUGAGCAAACAUACAGGGGAGAUGUUACGGAUACAAAAGCCUGAUAGGAUUUUUAAGUAUGUGCUACUUGAGCAAAGCAUCCCUGAAAGCCUGUGCAAAUUGUGUUGCUAAUGCCCCUUUCAUAUUUGGAUGCGUGGAUGAUGAAUCUCCUACUAAUUCGACUGAUUUUUGCUCUGGGAGCACUGAUGGCAAGCCAACCGCCCGUCACCUCUUUCUGCUUCUUGUCAGCCAGCGCUGCUGAGAGCCAGGCAGUGCAUGGGCCCCAACGGGCCCCGAAACAAGAGCAGAGGGACAGAGGAAACCACUGCACAACCACAGCACUCUCUCCUUCACUGACCGCUGUGAGAGGAGCAGCUGCCCCAGGCGAAGAGCCGGGCACCUUCUGCCCCACUGCGCUUCCUUCGCGUUUGGUGAGGAAGCGACGUGGGUGGGAGGAGAGAAAGGAGGGUGAACCCGAAGCCGCAGAAGCAAGCAACUCGGGGCAGAGACCAACCUGUAGGUAUUUGGUGCACACAGCUGACACCGAUGGCAGCCGGCCCCUGCUCACUAGAAAAAUAGAAGGCAGGAAAUCCUGUGACAGUCUUGUUUCGGUGAUGAUGUGAGAGACGCAGCAGCAGGAGACAACAAAACAAAAACCCUCUAAACCCCUGGAGCACACGUGGGCAACCUCCAGAGGGGAGCCUGGCACUUCCCAGCCCCUCGCUGCUCCUCCCGGGGCUACCAAAAUGCCUCUGGCAGCGGGUGCAGAGAGGGCAGGGAGCAGUCCAGGAGUCAGGGCUGGGUUAAUCAGAAAGGCUCGUGGAUGGCUGUGCCAGGAGCUCUGAGAUUGCUUCAGGAGGAAAGGUGCUGUGGUGUUUCCUCCUGCCAGACAAAGUUGUGAAGCUGCAGCUGACUUGUCAAGAACUGGUCCCUCACCUGCACCAGCUGAUGCCAAACCGGACCCUCUGAGGUGCUGCUGGCGGCCACUCGGGUCCCUGUCCCUCAGCUACAGCCACAAAUGGUCCCUGCUGAUGGACACGCAGGUUCCUUCCCUUCCAGCCAGCACCAUGAGGCUGGGAUCUGCAGGAGGAAUCAUUACUGCCACCCCACAUCUUUGCUGCGCAGGAGCUGGUUUGAAGGAGGGCAGCGGGGCCAAAAGGAACCGGCCCAGCACUCAGAUAUUUGCAUUUUCCACUGUUCAGACAUGGAUAAGCCAAAAGGGAGCAGCACAAGACUUCUCCCUCUCCUCAGCCCAUCCCCAGCAUCACGAGCGGGAGAGGCAGGGGGAGAGAGGGGCAGAUCGGUAACGUGGCCAGGACAAAGGGGCAGCUGCAGUGUCUGCUCGGAGCAAAAAGCCUAGGGAAAUUUUUAGAAGGUUUCAGCAGAGAAAACCCUGGGGACACUCUGAAGAGAUUGUUUAGGCUCAAGCAUAGGCUUUUCUGUUUUAAAUUAGACUCCAGAAAGGGAGUUAUUUUGGAAUACACACUGCAUAUCUUCUGCUGGAUGCAUCAUGGGCACACCACCUGUUUACCAUGCCUGCUCUGGGGUGAUUUAUACACAAAGGAUCUUGGCAAAGAACUGUCUUCGCUUCACUUUUGUAAAACCAAAAACCAACCUGGCCUGACUAUCACAGAGAUGGGACAAAGCCAAAAGCUUUCAGCUGAGUGUCUGUUCCCUUCCAAGGCUUGGUGGUCUGGAUACAAAGAAACCGAGAUUCAAUUAAUCCUCGUGUUGGUUUUGCAAAAACAUUUCUGCUGGAUUUUGGUUCUGAAAAAAACAACUCCAAACUCUGGUGUCCUUGGGAAAGAAAUGAAAGACUGCUGAAAAUAGUGCAGUUGGAAGGCUUCUUUCCUUCACAAAGCCUUCCGCAGCGUCCUGCAAGCCUGUAACCCUAACAGGCGUAUCACCACUGAGUGAAACCGAGUCUCGGCUGCUGAAAGGGUAUGAGUCUGCAUGCUGUCAGAUGCUCUCAUGCAAAGUGUUGUCAUACUUUGGUCAGGAAUCUUUGCAAUGCAGUAAGAAACUAGAAGGAAGAGGGGAACUGCCUGUGUCAGUGCAUUUCCAGUCCUCCCCUGCAUACAAGCAGGGAGAGGUCAGCUUGAGGGGCUGGGCGGGUGCUUGGUGCUGGAAAUGCAGCCCUGUGCCUACCAUCCAUCCACUGAACACCCCUUUUGGCCAAGACACGGUGUCAGCAAUGAGAUGUGCAACUCCUUAGUGAUCUUUUUGGAGCAGCAGAAAUGACUGCGAGCUUUUCACCCCUGGAAAUGUGUAGCUGAAGUAGAUAUACACAAGAAAACAGCGCUGCAGUAGUGAGGGCCAGGCAGCACCCAGGGUGCAGCGACCACAGGCAUCGUGCCCGCAGUCCUGGAGCUCGAGCUUCAGCAAUCAACCUGGUAGCUUCGUUCCAGUCCCCAGAGGGGACUUCUCUCCUAAAACCAUCUAGCUAUCCUGCUCUUCACCCUGCAGAGACAGAGCCAGCAAAGUGGUGAAUGCUGCAGGUAGGGUGGAGGCAGACUGGCAGAGCAAUGAGGCUCCCACAGUCGCAAAUGCAGUCGAGCCUAAAACAGCGAUGAUUUUGCAAGUCCAGAACGGCAGAAGAUUUUGAAAUUUAAGUGCAUUAGCACUGUUAUACAAGGACUUAACAGAUGCCAGCGCACUGACUAACCUAAUAAGCACAGCCUAUCCCUGCUGCCAUUACUGCUGCCUCACUGGAAGGGCAGUUUUGGCCAGGACGACGUGUGCUCUGAGUCACACGAUGGGGAGGAGGCGGUGACGCUGCUCAGGAAUCCACCUUGCUGCGUGUGGCUGGAGGAUGAUACCUGAUGUCCACGUGUGGCAGGACGGAGGGGACACAGACAGCUUAGCCCCCGGCAUUCCUCGGGACCAGUGCUCACCUGGCGAAGCGUGCAGAGCUAAAAACCACCCGCACACCUCGCUGUUUGCUACACAAGGCACUCAGCAGCUGACACCAUGCGCAGAGCACUUCUUGCCUGUGUAUCUUCUUGCAGUGAGACCGACAGAGAUAACCACCUCCUCAAACUGACGCUCAGUUUCAUUCUCUGUUAUCAAACCACCUGAUCAAAGGCCACUUACCCACACUGCAGACGUCUCAGCCCAUGGCCAGACAUGCCACAUACCAAAGCCUCUGGAGAACAAGGCAUCAAAACUACACUUAUCCAUUAACAGUGCAGGGGUGACAGCCUCUAUUUACUUUGCAAAUUCUGAAAGACUUAAAUCUCAUAAGGUGAUUAUGCCAUUAAUUAGUGAAAUGCAGUCAUCUCUGGGGUGUAGCACAGCAGCUGCUUCGGCUGAGCAGCAAAGAAAAAAACAAGCAGGCAGCGUAACAUGGUGGUAGUGCCCCAAAGAGAAGUCAGCCCCUCUCCCAGAAGGUAUCCCUCUUUCCUUGGCAGUGUGUGAAUGUUGACUCCAGUGUCUGGGGGCAUCUGAUGAAGCCUGAGCCCUGCAUUUUGCAGGAUAUGAGUUUUCCUGAGAAGCUAUACAUGCAGGGAUUAUAAACCCAGAAGGGGUCUCUGGUCAGUCAUCCCUCUGACCUCCUGAAAAACAGACCACAGAGCCUACCUGAAUGAUUUCCCCUUCAGACUGUGGCAUUUUUUAGGAAAAACACACAGGCAAGAGCACCGUAUGACAAAUGCAGGUCUGAAGAAGGCACGUUUGUACCACGGCGAAUUUACAGACUGAAGCUGCAUGGGAGGAAGGAGGCUGCUCCCCGAGGAAGCCCAUCUCCUCCGGCUGAGGCCUUCAGCCUGCGAACGGUCCCUGGUCCUUCAGGGGCAGAGUCAGUGCUGGCGCUGCUCCAGCCAGGUGCUGGCUGCUGCUCAUCACCCUUCAGCGAGCACGGGGCUGGGGCAGGCACCGGGGAUCUGGUGUUCCCAGAGGAGGAUGCUCAGAGGCGAGGGCGUUCAUGCGAGGCGCACAUUAGCCCAGCACGGCCCGCCUCAGGUCCCCUACAGUCAGCAGAGGGGGAGGAAAAUCUCCGGAGUAUCAAUUAGGGCAGCAGAUCUAGCCUGGAGGAGGCUACGUCCUCUGAGAGGGACGGGAGAGAAGUUUUGCUAAACUAAAGACAUUUUGCUGACCUUUUUUGAUACCUCCUGUUUUGCAAUGCCACCUCAACAACACUGCGGUCCUUCUGGCCUAACCCGACAGAAAUAUUCCUGAUGUGACAGAAAUAUUCCUGAUGUGGGAGCGCUCAGUGAGGGCUCUCGAGCUGCUCCAGCGAUGCCAUACACCAUCUCCCCACUGUCCUGCUCACAGGAAACCUGCCUGGGGAUCUCAGCGUAUCUUCAGAGCAUGUUACAUGGCAGCAACGGCAAAUGGCUCCUGUGCUAUCUGCAAGCAGAGGAGAGAGCAGCCCUGGGACUGUCUUAUUUUGCUGGAACACACCGAUUCUGGUCAAGAAAGAAGACAAAGUUUGUUUCAAGUCCCUUCUGUCUUCCACCUCAGGGAGAAGGAAGCAUGCCUAUCAUUUACAGGAGCAGGAAAUGUCUGUGAGUCACUGCUGGGAGAAUUACCAGGGCUCCACAGAACUCUCCUCACUUGAAAGGAGUUGGCCACUACAUUCCUGAAAGUAGUGUUAAAAAAAAAAAAAAUGAUAGAGGGAAAAUAAAAAAAAUUGUUACUAAAAUAUGGGGGUCAAUCUGGGAAUUCGCUCCCAAAAGCUCAUAAUAAAAAACCUCCAGCAAAGAA
Anas platyrhynchos (mallard) is the source of this 4876-nucleotide non-coding RNA. NCBI's taxonomy places the organism in Eukaryota, Metazoa, Chordata, Aves, Anseriformes, Anatidae. The record is from RefSeq and is a predicted model, not a curated record.